Megalobrama amblycephala (Wuchang bream) is the source of this 1316-nucleotide long non-coding RNA. RefSeq lists it as uncharacterized. Lineage: Eukaryota; Metazoa; Chordata; Actinopteri; Cypriniformes; Xenocyprididae. The record is from RefSeq and is a predicted model, not a curated record. The transcript has 4 exons.
GAUUGGUGGAUAACAAAAUUGGUCCUGACCUUUUGGCCUGUUCAGUUGCUGGCUGCUGACACCAAAUUUCAAGACGGAAGUUUUUCUUCGUGUGCUAUGUUCGGUGACAUGAGAUAAGGAGAUGUGGAAAUUCAGACCAGCCAACUGAGGUCCGAACCCUUGUUCUUCGAGGACUGCCUAUCAUGCUCGGAGAUGAAGACUCUUCUUUCUUCAAGUCAUCUUUAGUGUCUGAUCAUCAUAACACUAUCCUUGAUGUGCCAGUGGGGAUCUUAUUCGAGGACACUGAUCUUCAGCCCCCAAAAUCCUUGCAUUUGACUUCUUCGAUUGGAAUAAUUCUUGAAGGCCAAGUGGUGAUGGACAAAAUGCAGGACCUCCCACAGGCAAUCUGUCUUCUCUUCGGUCUGAUUUACACACUAGACCUGCAUUUCCCAAAAUCAUUUGCCAACACGUUUAAUUUCAUCCAGCGUGUACUAAUGUCAAUGGGACAAAAUGCUCAUAAGCCUAGAGUGUAGUCUCUGGCAAACCAGCUAUUUGCUUAAGAAACAUCACUGUGAUACUUAAACAUUGUAUUGGGUUUUUCUCCCCCUAGAUUUACUCAAUUAUCCAUUUUAUGAAGAAUAAAAAGUGUUUAAAUAGUUAAAUGCACAGAGUUCUUCAAUUGAUGUGCAGUUGUUAAUUUGAGAUAUUGUUGCCAUUGUUACACCUCUGUAAUGUGGUUGUGACCCGGUAAUAUUUCCAUUACAGUGUAGUUUGUACUGUAAUAUUGUGACAUUUGGACCAAAGACACUGAACAUGUUCAGUAUGUUAUUUUAGUUUGCCGUGUUUGCACAGAGCUUAAAUGGUGAAAUGCAGUAAGAAUGUAGUUCUUAUGUUUAGCCUACAUGUUCAGUACAUUUAACAAUUGUGAUGCGUAAAAAGAGAAAUUAUGAAGUGCACAGAGUUGUACAAAUGAUGUAAGUGCCUUUACACCUUUUACAGUGUUGUUGUGAACCAGUAAUAUUUCCACUACAGUAUAGUUUGUACUGUAAAACUGAAAUUCUGGAUAAAGACACUAUCUGUUGAGUAUGUUUUAUUUUAGUUUGCUAUGUUUGCACAAAGCUUAAACAGUCAAAUGUAAUAGUUAUGUUUACAUUAACAUAAUUGUGAUACUUGAGUGAAGUAUAUAUGUGCAAUGUAUGUUGUGCAAUUGAUGUACUGCACUAGUUAAUUUUGUUACCACCUUUACAUUGUGGCUGUGACCCAUUUCCAUUACAGUAUAGUGUUUACUGUAUUUUCAUUAAUAUUGUGACAUUGUCAAUAAAAAUUCAAAGAUUAAA